CACUCAAAUUUAGCAUCUAUCGUGAUAUAUCCAUCCAUUCUUGCUAUGAGUUGUGAUAUAUUUGAAUGAAAAUCAUAUAAAAGAUCAUUUACGUGUCACUUGUUUCUUUUGCAGAAAAGUGCGCAAGGCACUAUAAUCGUCCAGAUUUCUACUAUGUGGCUAACGAGAAGAGAGAAGGGCUUGUGUGUGACGACAAGAAGUAACCAAAGGGGAUAACUAUAGAAGAGAGGGGAUCUACUUGGGAAGGAAGAAGAUAGUAGGAGGGCCCAUGUGCAAACAUCAAAAUCUGCAGGGAGGGGAUCAAAAUCCCUAGAUCGGCUCCAGUCCCCAUCGGGCCUGGCAUAUCUCUCUCUCCCUCACCCAUCCUUCUCCAACUCCGCCCGCCGCCACGGCCAGGCCGGCGUGGUGGUGCGCCUUCGCCUCCCAUCCAUCCACCAGCGCCACCAUCUUCUUCUCCUUCCCCGCAUCCACCAUCAUCCAUCCACACCGCCGUCACCAGCGCCACCAUCUCCAGCCACCAGCACCACAGCGCCCCGCGCGACUCUCCCUGCUGCUUCUUCUCCCAUGCCUCUCCUGUUGCUCUUCUCCUUCCCUCGCUGCUCCUCUUCUCCACGCCCCUGCAGCCUUCCUUCUUCUCCUCAACCUCCUCGCUGCUGCUCCUCCUUCUCUCCAAAACUGCUGUUGCUUCCUCUCUGAAUCCCUACUGCUGCUGCCUUUCUUCUCCCCUUGCUACUUCUCCUCCUUCCAGCGCCCCCUUUGCUGCUCCUCUUUCCUUCGCUUGCUCUGCUUCUUCCCCUGCCCUGCUAAAGUUCUCUCCUCACGCCCUCUGUUGCUGCUCCUUAUCAACCCCCCUGCUGCCUCUGUUUCUUCUUGAACCUGAAAUCUCUCUCUCUCUCUGAAUUUUCUGUAAGCUGAGAUGUAAAACUUUGUAAUGUUCAGAUUCUAAGAGCACUUGCAAUCUGAUAUAUGUUUAGUAGGUACUUGUCAUUUUCUGUUAAUUAAUAUUCUGCUAGUGUAUGUGUGUGAUCUCCUUUGUGUUCAUUUGUUGACUUGUGCUUGUUUAGUUCGAAUCAUUUUGUUGAUCUGUGAGCACUUCUUGUAACCCCCUGGUCGUAUACAUGUGUGGUUAUGUGUAUAUUGUAGUCCCUGUGUUAACUAUGUGCAUGUGAAACUAUAUAUGUAUGUGGUGUGAAACUUAUAUUUCCCAGUACCAUACUACUUGUGCAUGUUCAGCACUAUGAUACAUCUUUUAUUUCUAGUUCAUAUAUUCCUCCUAUGUACUUGUGAUAUGUACGUGCUUUUGAUGUGAAUCACUUCUGUCCUUGUCCCAUUAUCUUUGUUUUGUGUUUUUCUUCUUUUAUAUAACUACUAGUUAUAUUUGUGAUCAUAUAUUAGUACUUUCUUUCUGUCGAUGUUGAUGUUCUGUGUGUUUAUUUUAGUUUCUCAAGUAAUAUGAAAAUACCAAAAAGACAGAGAGUAUAAUCUGAACCUUCCUUUGCUUCUUUUCAUUUUCUUUUGUCGAUGAUUUUUCCCGAAUGAUCUUAGUUAGUCUAGAUUUAGUAUUCUGCUUUCAUCACCCAAUAUUGUGUUACCUAGAUUUAGCCGAGCGUUGUUGCCGUCGCCUAGUCCCUGUGGAGAACACGACAUCCGUAGUUUGGGCAUAAAAACCCUACUAUAUUACAAACGAUCAUUUUGGCGCCGUCGCUGGGGACUAGUGUCGAGUGACCGUGUUAGGCUAUAGACUAGUUUCUUCUUCUUUUUCUAUUUUGUGCCAUAUAUUUGUGAUAUAUCUCUAACUCCUAACCCUUGUUCUAGAUUAUUUCCUCUUUGUUUUCUUUUCCUUUUUGCAGGUUAGAACCAUCUUCUCGGAUAUGGCUUACUAUUCAGAUCAUCAUGCUUAUGCGAGCAACUCUACAAACAGCACGGAAAGUGUUCAAGAACUGAUAGUAAUCAUAUGCAGGGAUUUAGGUAUGAAGAGGAGAGCCACAACUAUGCUCCACAACAGUCUUAUUCAGCUCCUAUUCAUAUACCUCUGCACCAGGAGAUGUUGCCAAUGGAGUUAAAUGGUCCUCCAUUUGGUCAACCAACAACUCCAGCACCUGUUGUGCAAUCUCAAGUGCCCACUCAAGAUGAGUUCGAUCACAUAGACGAGCUCACACUUUUGAGUCUCGAGUUCACUUGGAGUGCCGAGGAUGAUCCUAUUAGGAAGGUGAUACUUGAGGAAAUGAAGAAGAUUAAGAGUGGAAAGGAGCUAGUGGAAGAAGUAAGGAAGAUUGAGAAGAACAUCAACGCUGGCAGUACUAUCUCUUCCCUCCUUGAGUUGAGUGUGGCCGAGAUUCCCCUUGAUACAUGUGAGGUUCCAACACCGUCACAUCCAGUUGAGCAAGAUAGCAAGAGUCCUGAGGAAGAAAGACCUCAGAUUGAAGAAGAUGAACUAGAAGACAAGGAACAAGAUGGUGAAGAGCUGCAAUUCCCAAGUGAUCAAGUUGAAGACUCAUCAUCUAUUACUCCUGAAGAAGUACAAGAAGCUGAUGUAGAUGAAGAUGAAGAACAUGAGAUUCAUUUGCCUAUUGUCAUACCAGAGCGUCAUGUGUCAGGUUUACCCAAUCCUCUCAAUGACAUGCGUCCUUAUGAUUCCUUUGCUUCUACCUUGCAUUGCAUGAUGCCAUCUGUUAAAGUAGAUUAGAAAAAGUAUUUGCUUGGAUAUGAUCAUAUAUACCCUGUUAGUGGCAUUACUCACAUUAAUGAUGAUCACAGUUACUUUCCUCGUGCUAGACCUAUGGUUAAUGAAACAUAUCAUUCUUAUGCUAGUCUUGAGCUUAAUGAAAAAUAUCAUCCUCAUGUUAGUGUUGACUUUGCUAAUUUCUAUCAUCCUAAACAUGUGCUUUAUAGCUAUGCUUAUGUAAUUGAAUAUUCGAUUGAUGACUUGGAGGGUAUUAUCCCUACCACUUGCAUUGUCUCUUUCGUUGAGUGCUCUUUCAGGUUUUUGCUUGUGCACGAUCCAUUGCAUGCUGACCAGGUUCGAGGUGACAUUCCUUGGGACCCUGGUGGACUCUGAGCAUGGGGAUGAGGAGAAGCAAGGGGCACAUACGAAGAAGAGUGAAGCUGGAGCAUGCAUGAGGAUAGGAAAGCAAUAGGAGAGGAGUCACAAUGCACGAGGAAGCAAAGGAGAGGAGCUGCAGUUGGUGAGGUGAUCGAGCGAGUGCUACUUCCUAUGAAAACCCGGUGAGCUGUUUCAUGACCCAUUCCUAGUAUAUCAUCCAUUGAUACAUGCUGAAAUCAAAUGUUAUUUGGGUUGCUUAAGCCAUGUCUUAAAUGUUGCCCCACUGAAUUUUACUUGACAUAUGGUGCUUGAUGAGAAUAUGUGAACUGAGUGUUGAAUGCCUGGUAAACUAGUGAUCUUUACAAUGCUUGCUUUGCUGAAAUUAGUGAAAGCUAUUAGUUUUGAGUGCUCAAAUCCCUAGUACACUAGAAAACUUAAUUAUUUUCUGCUUUUACCUUGAUACGCCUAGAUCACCAUGUUUAGAUGCUGAAUUUGUGCUAAGUGUGUUCCCAUUGAGAGCAAUCACCUAACCAUUAUGGAUUAGCAUGCUAUGUUCCCUGGAUCGGUAGCAUGUGAACCAGACAUGGAGAAGUGAUGAUUCCUGUUUUUGUGCUUAUGCGUUGUUCAUUUAAGAUAAGUAAUAAUGAAUAAAUAAGUCUGACUACCUAUAGUAGCAUGUCAUGUUCCCGGGAUCGGUGGCAUGUGAAAUCGGGUUAGCUUGGGCAGUAAUUAAUAAAAAAAUGUAAUUGUUGAACCAGGUGUAUACCAUGUUCUCGGGAUCGGUGGUAUGUUCCUUUGGGGAGACAAACAAAAAAAACUAAUAAUUGGUCGAGCCAGGUGUAUACCAUGUUCUCGGGAUCGGUGGUAUGUUCCUAUGGUGAGACUAAUAAUAAUAUAAUCAUUGCUUUAUCUCUGUAAAUAAGUGAUUUGAUCACAAGAUUUAAUUCCAGUUCAUUUUGUUCUUGGGAUCAUGCUCUCUUUAGGAACCAUUUGGCGCAGUCAUCAUAUAAACUUGUUGAUCUUCUCUUAUCUCUGUAAAAGUUUAAAAUGGUCAUGCUUACUAGUCUCCUACUGCUUUGUAGCACUCUAACCAUUAAUUUUCACUAGAUAAGUGUGAAGCAUGCCUUGUUUGGAGAUCUAUUUUACCAGGACAUUCCUUACUCAGUUUACUGUUCAUUAUCUUGCCUUUGUCAUAUUCCUUUGCUUGAGAACAAGCAAAGAUUUAAGUGUGGGGCAACUUGAUAAGUGCAUUUCAUAUAUAUAAUUUGGCACUCAAAUUUAGCAUCUAUCGUGAUAUAUCCAUCCAUUCUUGCUAUGAGUUGUGAUAUAUUUGAAUGAAAAUCAUAUAAAAGAUCAUUUACGUGUCAUUUGUUUCUUUUGCAGAAAAGUGCGCAAGGCACUAUAAUCGUCAAGAUUUCUACUAUGUGGCUAACGAGAAGAGAGAAGGGCUUGUGUGUGACGACAAGAAGUAACCAAAGGGGAUAACUAUAGAAGAGAGGGGAUCUACUUGGGAAGGAAGAAGAUAGUAGGAGGGCCCAUGUGCAAACAUCAAAAUCUGCAUGGAGGGGAUCAAAAUCCCUAGAUCGGCUCCAUUCCCCAUCGGGCCUGGCAUAUCUCUCUCUCCCUCACCCAUCCUUCUCCAACUCUGGCCGCCGCCACGGCCAGGCCGGCGUGGUGGUGCGCCUACGCCUCCCAUCCAUCCACCUGCGCCACCAUCUUCUUCUCCUUCCCCGCAUCCACCAUCAUCCAUCCACACCGCCGUCACCAGCGCCACCAUCUCCAGCCACCAGCACCGCAGCGCCCCGCGCAACUCUCCCUGCUGCUUCUUCUCCCACGCCUCUCCUGCUGCUCUUCUCCUUCCCUCGCUGCUCCUCUUCUCCAUGCCCCUACAACCUUCCUUCUUCUCCUCAACCUCCUCGCUGCUGCUCCUCCUUCUCUCCAAAACUGCUGCUGCUUCCUCUCUGAAUCCCUACUGCUGCUGCCUUUCUUCUCCCCUUGCUACUGCUACUCCUUCCAGCGCCCCCUUUGCUGCUCCUCUUUCCUUCGCUUGCUUUGCUUCUUCCCCUGCCUUGCUAAAGUUCUCUCCUCAUGCCCUCUGCUGCUGCUCCUUCUCAACCCCCCUGCUGCCUCUGUUUCUUCUUGAACCUGAAAUCUCUCCCUCUCUCUCUGAAUUUUCUGUAAGCUGAGAUGUAAAACUUUGUAAUGUUCAGAUUCUAAGAGCACUUGCAAUAUGAUAUAUGUUUAGUAGGUACUUGUCAUUUUCUAUUAAUUAAUAUUCUGCUAGUGUAUGUGUGUGAUCUCCUUUGUGUUCAUUUCUUGACUUGUGCUUGUUUAGUUCGAAUCAUUUUGUUGAUCUGUGAGCACUUCUUGUAACCCCCUGGUCGUAUACAUGUGUGGUUAUGUGUAUAUUGUAGUCCCUGUGUUAACUAUGUGCAUGUGAAACUAUAUAUGUAUGUGGUGUGAAACUUA
Long non-coding RNA from Triticum aestivum (bread wheat), 5512 nucleotides. RefSeq lists it as uncharacterized. Lineage: Eukaryota; Viridiplantae; Streptophyta; Magnoliopsida; Poales; Poaceae. The transcript has 2 exons. The record is from RefSeq and is a predicted model, not a curated record.